UCCUCAUAGGCAGGGAACCACUCCAGGCAUUCUUAUGUCUGUCCCUUUGAUAGAAGAGCAUGCACCUUCAUGCAGAGCAGUGAGGUUAGUAUGUAUUCCACUAUCACCUACUUGGCGGUGCUAGCACAGUCUGCCCCCGUUUGACCCACUCCUGGAGUGCUGAUCUUACGACGCAUGCGCACCAACCUGUGUGGUCCCGUGUAAACAGACCUAUAUGCCGGUUGGCUGUAUAGAAAUCUAGCUCUCUGCACACUGUAUGUACUCACCACCCCUUGGAAGGCUGGCAGCUCUGUAGCAGGGAAAUAGGCCAGGUUGCCCAUGGGCAUCGUGCCGACAAAGCAGAUGGGCCCAGUGGGGGCAGGCAACCGAACACGUAUGUCCUUUCUGGACUUGUGCGUAUUUAGCUUUGUGUCUUUGAUUUAUAGAAGACAAAUUCUUGAGCAGAAAGUCUGCAUUCGUGAAAUAAGAGUCAGAAAUAGUUAGCUCUCAGCCUUAAUUAAAACAUUCACGUUAAGGAUCCGGGAGAACUCAUCUCACUUAGAACUCUUACAGAGUAACUGGGUACAGACUUCUAUGGUAAAUCAUUCCUUACUAAGUGGGGUGAGGCUGUGCCUUUCUACCUUAGAAUCUCACAAACUCAUCAGGAGGCCUAAUCUUGGGAUUUUUUGUUUGUUUGUUUGUUUUUGCCUUUCUUUCUUUUUUAUUAGAUAUUUUCUUCAUUUACAUUACAAAUGAUAUCCCAAAAGUCUGUUAUACCCUCCCCCUGCCCUGCUCCCCAACCCACCCACUCCCACUUCCUGAUCUGCCAUUCCCCUGUACUGGGGCAUAUGAUCUUCGGAAGACCAAGGGCCUCUCCUCCCAUUGAUGACUGACUAGGCCAUCCUCUGCUACAUAUGCAACUAGAGACACCUAAUCUUGUUUUAUAAAGACCAACUUUGUUGGAGAAUCAUGGAUAGCAAUGAAUGAUCCUUAUAAAGUAUCAUUAUUUGAAAAUAUUAUUAAAAUACAUUUCCGAAACCUUUUAAUUUGCUCAUUUUUAUAAACAAAGAACUAAAUCUCUCAUUUCAUUUUCCUGGAGGUGACACUGUGGAGAUAAGACACAUGCUGUUGAAUAGGCAAAUAUAUUUAUACAUUUUUUAUAAUUUUUCAAUAAUAUCUGUGUCAUGUCCCAUUUGUGUAAGGUAAAAACUUGAAAGGCAGAACAAGUAAUUUAAAGAUAUGUAAAUUACCUUAAUGAGCCAACAUUUUAUCAUUCUAAAGUAAAAAAUCUCUACUAAUAAUCUAUACUGACACUACACGAAAUUUAUGGAUAUUGCUAAGUUAUUUAUAUGCACUCAUGUGUAUUUGUGGUUAGUGUUCAUAUGUGUGUGCACAUGUGAUACGUGUAUUCAUAUGUUCAUGUGUGCGUAUGUGUGAAUGUUUGCAAGUAUGGAGGCAUACAGAGGCCAGGGGUUGACAUUUGACACCUUCCUUCACAAAUCUCCUCCUUGUUUUCAGAUAGUCUCUCUUGCUUAAUUUGUAAGCCACUAAUUCAGUGAGACUGGCUGGAUAGCAAGUCUCAGAGACUCUCCUAGCUCAGCUCCCAAUUCUGGAGUUCAGGAACAUGGUUUUCUUGUAUGUCUACCAUAUAUAUAUAUACAUAUAUAUAUAUAUACAUGCUCAGGUUCUCCAUAUAACUCCUGAGUAGUUAAGGCAAGCCUGGGAAGCUAAUGUUACAGAUGGAGAAGCAAGGGAUCAUGCAGAUGAAGUGAUUCAGCUUUAAGAACACCUACCAUUUAUCAUAUUAACUUUCUUUUUAAAAACAUGUUUAUUUAGCUGGGCAGUGGUGGUGCACGCCUUUAAUCCCAGCACUUGGAAGGCAGAGGUAGGCAGAUUUCUGAGUUCGAGGCCAGCCUGGUCUACAAAGUAAGUUCCAGGACAGCCAGGGCUAUACAGAGAAACCCUGUCUCAAAAAACCAUAAAAACAAAACAAAACAAAACAAAAACAAAAACAAAAACAAAAAAACGGAAAAAAAAACAUGUUUAUUUAUUUGUGUGUGUAUCUUCAUGAAUUUAUGGUGCCUGAAAGGGCCAGAAGAAAGUAAUAGAUUCUCAAGAACAGGAGUUAAUGAUAACUUAUGAGCUACCAUAUAGGUGCUAGGGACUAAACCAAAGUCCACUGGAAGAGUAGUAUCUAUUUCUAAUGGCUAAGCAUCUCUACAUCCCAUAAGCUCUUAUUUUGACACAUUAGAAACAACACAUGCAAAUUGUUGUUUAGAUUUACAAUGAAAACACACAGACUGCUACUUUUGGACAUAAGGUUGCUAAUGCAACAUUCAAGUCUUAAGAACCUAUCAAAAAUCUUUUGAAAGUGGCCUUGAGUGUAUUUCAGAUAAAUGCUGUCUUUCAAAUAAGAUGUAACCGUUGCUUUAUUGGAAUUGAUGCCCGAUACUGAGUUUGGGCAGAGCAAAUGCUCCCUGGCAGCUGGUGCUGUAGCCUGCAAAGUUACUGUGUCUUUCUGUUGUCAGGGGCUUGCAAAAAAAAAAUCGGUUGAAAAAUUUGCAGAGAUACAUAAAGGAUUUCUUUUAAAGCUGUAUACAUUUCACAGAAUCCAAAAGAAAAAUAUUCUAGGAAGCAGUGAUGUAUGAUAGAGAAAUAACCUUGGUCAGUUGUGCAGAGAGCUUGGCACUCAAAGACAAAUGAGCUUGGGACACAAUGGAGCUUUACAUACAAGAUGAGCUACUAUGUGGAUCAGAUGAAAACUCAGUCUCUGAAACCCACAAUUUGCUUCCAGCUCCUCGAAAUGUGGAAAAACAUUCUGAGAACCCGGAGUGGGCAUAUCUCAGCUGACAUUCCUUCCUCCACUGCUCGGCCUGCUCGACAGUUUCUGUGUUUCCCAAGUUUGUCUCCACCUUUCACUGCCCCCACCCCAGACUCCCCACCUCCUUCUGAAGCUCAGUUCAUGAGCUCCUUCCUGGUAGGAUGCUAAAUGCUGCUUUGGGAAAUGUUUAACUCCUUUGCAAAGUUUGAAAACCCAUUGUGACAUCAAAGACUCUUCACUGUCCUGCCGAUCUAUGGUGAAAGUGUCAUAUUUAGCAACAAGAGUCUUUUGAAUAGACAGUUCCACUAUUGCAAUAAAGCCACUCCUCCAGCACAGAGUGGGGGAAUUACAAAUGAGUAAAUCCUUAACCAAUUUACCAAGCUACGAGCAACCAGUAGGUUUUACAAGAGUCCAAAGAGAGUGAAGAUUAUAAUACUGCCCAUGGAACCCAGUGUGGGCAUGCUGGAGGC
This 3270-nucleotide long non-coding RNA is filed under the name Mus musculus (house mouse). Its description in RNAcentral is "long non-coding RNA chr18:23347004-23350274". The record is from RNAcentral. Lineage: Eukaryota; Metazoa; Chordata; Mammalia; Rodentia; Muridae.